AUUCCAUGAUGGGUACAUUCUAGGAUGUAGUCUUGAAAGCGCUCCCAUGCUUCUGGAACAGAUUCAUCAUUUUGAUGCUGAAAACUUGUAAUCUUCCCACGGAGAGC
Sorghum bicolor (sorghum) is the source of this 107-nucleotide small nucleolar RNA. It matches the Rfam family "Plant small nucleolar RNA R71". Rfam says of the family: R71 is a member of the C/D box family of snoRNAs containing the C (UGAUGA) and D (CUGA) box motifs. The record is from Rfam. Lineage: Eukaryota; Viridiplantae; Streptophyta; Magnoliopsida; Poales; Poaceae.